This 1340-nucleotide ribosomal RNA is filed under the name uncultured bacterium. Its description in RNAcentral is "bacterial SSU rRNA". It matches the Rfam family "Bacterial small subunit ribosomal RNA", at positions 40 to 1379 of the family's 1533-position model. The record is from RNAcentral.
CGGCGUGCUUAACACAUGCAAGUCGAACGAUGCACUCUAUUUGAUUUUCUUCGGAAAUGAAGAUUUUGUGACUGAGUGGCGGACGGGUGAGUAACGCGUGGGUAACCUGCCUCAUACAGGGGGAUAACAGUUGGAAACGACUGCUAAUACCGCAUAAGCGCACAGGAUUGCAUGAUCCGGUGUGAAAAACUCCGGUGGUAUGAGAUGGACCCGCGUCUGAUUAGCCAGUUGGCAGGGUAACGGCCUACCAAAGCGACGAUCAGUAGCCGACCUGAGAGGGUGACCGGCCACAUUGGGACUGAGACACGGCCCAAACUCCUACGGGAGGCAGCAGUGGGGAAUAUUGCACAAUGGGGGAAACCCUGAUACAGCGACGCCGCGUGGAGGAAGAAGGUAUUCGGAUUGUAAACUCCUGUCGUUAGGGACGAUAAUGACGGUACCUAACAAGAAAGCACCGGCUAACUACGUGCCAGCAGCCGCGGUAAAACGUAGGGUGCAAGCGUUGUCCGGAAUUACUGGGUGUAAAGGGAGCGCAGGCGGACCGGCAAGUUGGAAGUGAAAACUAUGGGCUCAACCCAUAAAUUGCUUUCAAAACUGCUGGCCUUGAGUAGUGCAGAGGUAGGUGGAAUUCCCGGUGUAGCGGUGGAAUGCGUAGAUAUCGGGAGGAACACCAGUGGCGAAGGCGACCUACUGGGCACCAACUGACGCUGAGGCUCGAAAGCAUGGGUAGCAAACAGGAUUAGAUACCCUGGUAGUCCAUGCCGUAAACGAUGAUUACUAGGUGUUGGAGGAUUGACCCCUUCAGUGCCGCAGUUAACACAAUAAGUAAUCCACCUGGGGAGUACGACCGCAAGGUUGAAACUCAAAGGAAUUGACGGGGGCCCGCACAAGCAGUGGAGUAUGUGGUUUAAUUCGAAGCAACGCGAAGAACCUUACCAGGUCUUGACAUCCGAUGCAUAGUGCAGAGAUGCAUGAAGUCCUUCGGGACAUCGAGACAGGUGGUGCAUGGUUGUCGUCAGCUCGUGUCGUGAGAUGUUGGGUUAAGUCCCGCAACGAGCGCAACCCUUAUUGUCAGUAGCCAGCAGGUGAAGCUGGGCACUCUGAUGAGACUGCCGGGGAUAACCCGGAGGAAGGUGGGGAUGACGUCAAAUCAUCAUGCCCCUUAUGAGCAGGGCUACACACGUGCUACAGUGGCGUAAACAGAGGGAAGCGAAGGAGUGAUCUGGAGCAAAUCUCAAAAAUAACGUCUCAGUUCGGAUUGUAGUCUGCAACUCGACUACAUGAAGCUGGAAUCGCUAGUAAUCGCAGAUCAGAAUGCUGCGGUGAAUACGUUCCCGGGU